GAGAGAGAAAGAAAAAAAAAAUGUAGAGAGCAAAACAAUGCGGGGAGAUCUGGGCUGCAGGGCGCCCGGCGGGGCGGGCAGCUGCAGAGCGGCUCCGGGAGCGGCUGGCCGCUCCGCACGGGCACGGCAGGGACAGGGACAGGGCGGGGGGCACGGCUGCCCACAGCCCUGAGUGCCGCCGCAGGAGCCACGAGCUGCAAUAUUUUGCCAGUAGAGAGUUUUGUCUGAGAAGUGAAUUUUCUUAUACAGACCAUACCACCAGUCACAUCAGAGUUCCUGACAAUCAAAGGCAGAGGUGAAGUUGAAAAUACAAAGUCCUGAUCUUUCUGGACAGCAAAGACUCCUCUUCUUGCAUCACUAUGCCUAUGGCAGAUCAGGCUCUUUAUCUCCUCCUGAAACAUGGGAACUGGAGCCUCUCUGCUAUCCUGCACUUCUCCCCACCUGGGGCUCUUCAGCAACACCAGUAGCAGGCGUUUCUUCCCUGCUAAAUGGUCAACACCUUCAGUCCAUUAAUGAGGGAUACCACUUGGUCACCUCAAAGCUCACAUCACUGCAGUGUGAGCAGAGCUGGCAGAAUUCUGAACCCAGACUGGAAGGUAUGUCCCUUCAGGUGAAGACAGCCAUGAAGCACACACACCCUGCAGAAUGACCAUGAUAUGGACUUCAGUUCUUCAGACAGGCAUCAUAAGAAGAAAGAAGAAACAGUGAUGAAUUCACCCUGUGUAUUAAGGACCUCUACCACCUCCUCCCAUUAACCGCCACCUUACAUCCUCAUCCUGCACCUCUGGAAGCUCAUUUGUUAGUGCAAUGUCAUGGGUUCUCUUUGGUGCCUCAACUCAGGGUGCUGGUUGGAGGCAGCUGAGUGUUUCCUAGCCCAGACUGAGAGGGCAAACCUGCUCCCUCUGGACUCCAUAUCCCUGUGAGCAGAAUGACAAAACAUUUGUUGCAAAAGUUUGUGAAGAAUUGCUGCAGAGUCACUUGGAGCAGGCUAUUGAUAAGACUUAGAGGCUGUGAAUGGGAACAAAAAAUCUCACAGACACAGUACAAGAAUUAAUCAUUUUGAAUCAUAAUAAUUUGUCAUGGAAAAAAAAAUACCACUGAGAUCAAAAGCAAUUUUACAGGAGUGAUCACUCUGACAGAAGCAGCAUGUGGAGCUGUGCGUAUUAUAGCAGGCACAGCCUACGGGAAAUGUGCACACAGCUAUCAGCAGGGCAUGCACCAAAAAGCAAAACAUUCAGAUGAACUUUUCAGCCAAAUGGUAGACAGUAUUGCAGCCAAUGGCAAGAGGAGUGUUAACCUGACAGAAAAGCAGUAUGUGCUACUUCAAGUUGGACAGUGAUGCCUAAACCAAUGCAAUACGACAAUCUCAGUUAUUCACAGUGACAGAAAAGCCAAAGGAAGAAGACGGAAGUCCAUUCGUGGGUAAAAGUAUGUCCGUUCCACAGCUUCCUCAGGAGAAUGUCUUCACUGGGGAAGCAAAGGAGAAAAACAGCUUAAGAAAAAUCUCAGGACAUUUUCCAUAGCAUAGUGACAAACUGCACCUUUUCCAGUUUGUUAGCUAUUAUAUAUGUCUCCAGAAGGGAAAGAAUCAGUGGUACAUAUUCAUCUUUCACCAUUUACCCUAGGAUGAAAGUCUGUAGAAAAGUAUGUGUACUUUUUAUCCACCUUCAGCAAGGUGGCUGCUGCUGUAUAUUCCCUGCAUCUGUUGCCAGUAUAGAGGUGACAUUUGUAUGGUAUUCUGUUUAAAGGGAAUGGAAGGGUGAUUUACCUUGUGUUGAAUAAAAAUACUGAGAAGAUCAUGAGGUGGUUAGCUAGGCAUGGAUAAACCCUUGAGAAGGCAUGAAGAUAGCCCACAUUGCCUGAAAAUGAAAAGUGACACGGGAAAAUCCAAGACUCAUCACAGAUGCCAAAAUGAAACUAAAUCAAGCAAAACCUCAGGAGACAAAGGUUCCUCAAAAGCAAAGCAGACUUCGCUUUACAUAGGCUGGAAAAACAAAGCUGCGUACCCGAUGCUGCUUUUCUUUCUUUGCUGAGCUAGCCCAAAUAGAAGAUAUUACAGAUGAGUGUAUGUGUCAAAAGCAUUGGAUUAGUUGGGAUGCAGCUGACAUAACUGUAAGUGACAGCGACGUUAUUUAGUUUAAGUAGUUUGCAGUUAAGUAUAGACUUAGACAUAAUCCUGCCAAUGGAACAGUUCCCACCCUAAUACUUGAGUGGGAAAUGGUGCCAGAUUAAUAAAGAGUUUAUUGAAAAGAAACCAGAGCCAGAGCCUGAUCCACAUUUAGAACAACUUGAGUUCCAGGGCAGCAUCAGUGAUGCAUGGGGCUAUCACCUGAGGACAUUUUUUCCUAUGGAAAACUGAAAUUCAGACUAGCUGCAUUAUUAGACACCAGAGACUUGUAGAAAUGGAGGGUGAGACAGCAAGUUAAACUCUUCAGUUGAACUCAGUGUUCUCAAAUCCAUCUCCUCCCAGAAUAAGGGUCAGAGCUGAUACCAACUUCAUGGGGGAUUUUGAGCCUCCUGGCAGUUACAGAUGUGUGAUUUUAAGAGUAAUUGCUGCAUUUUUUUUUUCUGCAACAUGCACUCCAUACCCACUGCAGACCAUCAGCAUAUACUGAUUGUAAUCCCUGUCCCGCUCCGCUCUUUUGACUCGUAUCACAGCAUCACUCUUUGGCAUGUGUGAAAGACACAAGGAUUUUGUUUUAUGUUAUGGAAAUAGGGUCAGUCACAUCCGUAACGCAAAUUUGUGGCGUACACCGCCUCAGGGCUCUUUCAGGUAUUGCAUUUAUGCAGUCCUGUAUUCAGAAUGCUUCUUUAAAUGCAGCAGGUCAUGUUAUUUCUGAAGCGUUAUUUCAGAGUGACUUUUACACGUUAUAAACAGUUCAUUGGAAGAUGAAGAAAAUAGUGUGAUGUUGUCUAGAUGAUAAGUAUCUUUAUUUUAUGGAAAAAACAGCUGCAAACACAUUGUCGACAAACAAAAUAUACAAAAUCUAAGCAGAUACAGGAAAAUACCCUAAAUACCAACAGCAGUCGGCCUUCAUAGCCGCUGCCACAGAGUACCGAAAUUCACGCCACGGCAGCCCCGGUAGCCAGCUCAGGAGAAGGCGGAUCGGACAGAGGCAGGGCCGGCCCGAAGGGAGGUUUUGCUGUCACUAAAAACCAAAACGUCUCAGCCGCAGCGCCGCCCGCCAUGCCCGCAGCCAGGCGGCCGUUGCGCCGCGCCGCCGCUGGGUGUCGCCCACGGUGGGGCCGCGGCGUGGAGGCGGGACGCGUGGCGCUGCACAAAAGGAGCAGCGCCGUUGUGGUGGCCGUCGCCAUCUUGGCUCAUCGCCUCUGUUGGCAUGGGGCGGGGGGAGGCGGGGACGGCUGCUCGCCCGAAGGCGAGGUUUAACCCUCUGGAGUCCGCCGUCGCUGCCAUGGGUUGGGACGCAUCUUGUCUGUUAACGGCGUAGCAACGCCUUCACGGGCGGGGUGGGCGGCUGACAAAAAGCAUUGCUCACGGCUUUGCGUGCGAGGAGGGAGCAUGCAGCGACAGUGGCGAGCGGGGCUGCGCGGGUUUUGAAGAGCAGUUGAUACCACAAAGGAAUGCAGCAUACAGUGUGUGCUUUAGGCUUUGCGAGCAACUGAUAUAAUUUGCUGGAAAAUUGAAUUUGAGGGCACAGAGAAAAUCAAAUCAGGGACAGAAAAGUGAUAAGAAUGCUGAGCAAGGGCUUGUCCUAGAAAUCAUAGAUGAAGACUGAUUUUGCUGCUGUAGAAAUGGCAGAGCGCUCCCAGCUGCCUGGAAACGAAACAAGGACAUUGGAGGUACUGGGAGGCACAAAUAUGCAGCGGUUGUUCUUGGUUUAUAUCCUGGAAACCAGAAAUCAAAGCUGGGAAAAUCAGCACACCUUGCUGGUCCUUUCACAUAGCUCAAACCUUCCUGUUCGUUAUCCCGAAAGCUGGCCCCCAGAGCUGGAUGUGGAAAGUGCCUUUGGUGAACACAUGGAUGGCGUUGCCAGGUGCCCCAUCCCCAGGGCAGCCCUGUGAGCAAGCAGCCAUGGACCACGAGGCAAGGCACAGCAGGUUCAGGUUCAUUACAGUGCCGCGUUUCAUGUUUGGCAUUCUCUCUUUGUGAAAAUGUCAAAAGUUGUUGGGAGAGGCACAGUGUUGGCUGGGGCUGUUGAUUAGCAACACAUCACAGCUAGAUACGUUCUUGUGACACUGCUGUUUGCAACCGCUCACAUGUAGGAGUACUGUAAACGCUUUACAAAAGAAUAAGAAAAAUGAAAGUGGAAAUUAGCAGAUGAGAAGUUUGUAGAAGUGACUCAGCAUGACAACCACAUGCAAGGGUGAAAGAUACUCAACACUUUAGCCAAGCAAAGAGCUCCAGUCUGCUUGACAUAAACUUUGAUGUGGAUAUUUUGAUGUUUAAAAGUAGACUCCGUAUCAAGUCAAUACAGAAUCAAGUGUUUUUAACAGGAAAACUGCUAAACCUCUAUGAGGCCCCAUCAUUGUCUCUGAAACGUUCAAAAUGACAGAACUGAUAAAAAAUGAAUACUUCAGGAAUUUAUCAUAUUCUGGAACAUUUUUCAAGUGAAGUAUGUUUUUAGAAAUGAUCAGCUUUGAAAAUGCCUUAAUAAAACUGAUCAGUUUUGGCAUGACAUAAUUCUGUAUUCAUUCUAUGUUCCAGAGAAUGCAGUAUCAUCUUGGUUGAUCACUGUUCAGUAAAAACCUCUAGUUUAGCUCAAGCAGCAUUUUGGAGGCAGGCUGUCACCUUUCCUGCGUGGGAUUUUCCCUUAGGAUGCUGCUACCCUUAGACAGCAGGAAUGGGAGCUCUCCUUGCAUUUAUACCCUGCCUUCCACAAACUGAGGAGGAGGGGGACAGAGUGCAGCCCUGGUUUGUGCCCUGGUAGGUCUUUGCCCAGCCACAGCUGUCACCUGCCAAGUGGCGGUGUGAUAAUAUGAAAUAUGAUGCUUUCCUUUUCUGCCUGUUUCCUUGCCUACUCAGUCCGUGAACUUUCCAAAAUAGCUGACUACAGCCCUUCAUCAGAGCUUACAGAGAGAGAAGUCUUAUAUCUCCUUAAUAAAAUGAGACAUCUAAAGAGAGCUGGGAAUCCUCCUGGGAUCGAAGGAAACUCAUCACAGCAAACUGCUGUUUAAAUUCGGCUUUAAAAUUUUGCAGUUCAAGUGACAAAUCUACAGACAUCAAUAUCAGCAGUGCUGAUACAAGAAGCAUUGGCAAUCUUUGAGAAGACAUCUAACAAUAGCAGCAGAGACAGAUUGUGAGCCAGUUGUGUUCUGUUUGUUUUGUCCUCCUCAUACACAGGCACGCACCCUCAGUAGUGAGCUGUUCAGGCAACAAAUCGCUGACAAGUGUGCAAUGACAAGCCUGUCUAGACAGGCUUAAAUCAUCCCUGAUGGUUAUAUCUGUGUACUUCUUAUGGUCAGUACAAGUAUCAGUUUGAUAGAAUUUAGCUAGAAUACCCACUAGUUGAAAAUAUCUUUAAAAACAAGCAAACCAACAUGUUGAGCUGGAGUUGGUAGUCACUAGCCUGCUAACUUUCUGUGUUGGCAGAUAGGUAUAACAGGCCAUGGAGAAACAUCAAAUGUGUACUAGAAGGAAUUCAUGAAUACAAAAUUUUUCCUUUAUGUUUUGGCUAAUCUACCACAUGUAACAGCUUUACUGAUUUCUGUGUUUUAAGCAUGAGCAAUGUUUUAUAGUUAUUCUAAAUCCUGCUACAGAAAAAGUGUUGGGAGUCCCAAAAGUUGCUGUGUGCGUUUUUUGUCAUGGCCCAAUGCCAAUAAAGACAUAAAAGGAGCAAAGGAGUAUCUUGCAACUGCUACAAGAUGAGACAUACUGAAGCCAGUCCCCCCUUGAAGAAUCUGUAUCCGUUUCUCUAGUUGGCAGGUUAGAUAUGAGUUCAACAGAGAGCUGUACUUGUUUGGAGUGUUAAUUCUAUUCUUUGUUUGUGAAUUUAUCCAUAGAAUAAAUAAAACAUGAACAGCAGCAGUGUAACUGUUCACCCAAGAUCUGCCCAUCCUGAAUAAAAGCAAACUGUGACAGGUAGGAGGGCUAUUCUGUACUUCUGCUAACCCAGCCAGUACGAUGGUACAGGUGACAGAAAUCUUUAUGCAAGAUAAUAUCUGUCUGUUUUAUAUGGGUGACCAUCAGAUGAUAACACAUUCAGGCUGCUGAACUGAAUUUGAACAGGCAAGUGACAUUCCUUUGCCUGUCAGCCAGCAGUUGUAGUCAUUGUCCUGGGCACAGUUGUUUUAAAUAAAAUCACAGAUGUCGAAGUCUUCCUCUCCUUUGCUCCUAGUUGCAGAACAUAGCUUGUGGCAGCUGAGUUUCUGGUGCUUUCAAGCUGAUUUUGAGGGCCAUAUAAAAAUAAGUUGUUUGUUUAACCCAAAGUAAGCAGAGAAGGAAGUCUUUCACACAAAUGGUAAAGAUCCUCAAUUCAGGCCCUUUAAUGUAGCAGAAAGGAGUCAUAAAAGUCUCACUUUUGCAGUAAAAGGAUUCCUUUGAUGAAGAGAAUGUGGAUUAAGCUUUGCAGAUAUCUUCUAAACUCCAGUACAAGGUAAAAUCCAGCCUUUCAUUUCUGUUGGAAUGCAACUGGCCAACUUCCGUUACCCUCUGAGCCACCUUAGAGGGUAAAGGGGCUAUGAACUUUGCAGAGGUUCACAAGUGGCAUGUGACAUCCCACCAGUCUGCUGCAAGCACAAUGCUUUUAUUUUGAGACCGCUGGAGAUGGAAUCUGGGAAUCUACUGUGUGGCAAAAUCUUCCUGUAGUAUAUGGAACUCCAUCGAAGUCAGGCUGGUAUGAAACUGCUCUGAGAUCACAUGUCAUAAUAAAGCUGAUUUCUGGACAAGAUUGGAACUGACUGGAGUGUAAAUGAUGGCAGGAAUUAAAGAACACAAAUUUAUCUGCAGUCACUGCUCCAAGUGAGGGGAGAAUAUUUCUGAAUCCUAACAUCAGCACAUAUGGUGGAAAAAAGGGCCUGCCCUUCCAGUGAGGAAACAGCAUUGUCAGGAUGGAGUCUUCGUAUGCUCCUUAAGGAGACUCUGCUGAACACACCAGCAGCUUUUCGUGGACCAGAGGCAACUGGAACAGAUCUCAGCAGUGCCUCAGACUCAGGGCAGCAGUGAAGAAAACAGUCCAUGGGUUUGUCCUUUGCCACCUCUGCUGCUGUUACUGUGUUAAUCGCUUGAGGUUGUUUCAUCAACGUGAGCAUGGAUUUUCAUCUGCAAAUAGUAAUAGCUGAAGGAAAAGCCAACAAGUCUGUUUGCAGGGAGAGGCCAGACUUGCAAUUAUGCGAGUUCAGAUGGGAACUUGUGUGCAUUUGAUACAGAAGAAUUCAAAAAAGAAAACCUGAUGUAAGGAAAGAAAUAGAAUAUGAUAUAGUUGAUCCUGAUUCCAGCUUAGAAAUUCCAUAGGAAGAAGGCAACAAAUGUUCAGAUGCAAGAGGAGUAUUUGGGGCUUACCGCAAAUACCAGAUGACAUCAGUGUUUUCAGUGCUGUGUUGACAGAAGUACCAGUUGCUCUGAGUUGUAUUUGCAUGCCUCAUGCUCAUCAGGGUACAUCACUUCUCAGAUGUUUUGCACAUCAGAAGAAAAGAAAUCAAAAAGAAUUUCUUCAGAGCGCUAAGACAGAGAGGGUUUCGAAAUGAAAAGUGAAAAUGGCUAAGAAUGUAUUUUUUUACUCAGUACCCUGCCUGCCUAUUUGAGUCAUAUUUAAUUCUGCCUUAAUUUUGACACAGCAGUAGCAGGCCAAGAAAUGUCUUGGGCUGAGUUGUACAGUUUGCAACAUUAAAGCCCUGUAGCAAGUUUCUCACUACUAGAAGGCCACUUUCUGCCAUUUAUGUUUUCCACUAAAUAGUUUGCAAACACCAUAUUUUACGAUGAUUUAGGUGACUUUAAUCCCUCAUGGUUUCAUAAAGUCGCGAACAUCAGCCUGUAAGCAAACA
This is a long non-coding RNA of Numida meleagris (helmeted guineafowl), 7941 nucleotides long. RefSeq lists it as uncharacterized. NCBI's taxonomy places the organism in Eukaryota, Metazoa, Chordata, Aves, Galliformes, Numididae. The record is from RefSeq and is a predicted model, not a curated record. The transcript is spliced from 8 exons.